CGAUUAACUGUUUAUGAGUUAAAAAAACAUACCGACAAAUUUAUUCCGUAAGGGUAGAUAACUCCUAUAAAAUGUCAUCGAAUCGCUUCGAUCCAAAUGGGCCAAAAAUAACUGAGGAUGUAAUGAACAAUUUGUAAAAGGAAUUUUGUCGCUAUCUUUUUUUGUUACGGAGGAGAUGCACACAGAUGAUAAACAGUGAAUAGGGAGAUAACUCUUACAAAGAAAAUAGUUCGCCUCAGCAGGGUGAAAUUUAAAAGCGCAUAAACUAUACGAUACCAUAUGAGAAAUAUCUAAGCGACAUAUUGCGAAACAAACAUUUAUCGCAAGAACAAAAUUUGGCGGAAGAAAAAAAUAAUAAUAAUAAUCAGAAGAAAUACAAUAAGUCUUUUCACAAAAAAGUGAAAAGACUUAAUUA
This 415-nucleotide long non-coding RNA is filed under the name Mytilus galloprovincialis (Mediterranean mussel). Lineage: Eukaryota; Metazoa; Mollusca; Bivalvia; Mytilida; Mytilidae. The record is from RNAcentral.